ACUAUGGAAGAUAUUAGGGCUAAAGUAAAACUAUAAACGUCAAUAGUUUAAGAUAAUCAGACCAGGAAUUUACAAGAGACUUAUCAUCUUGGAUUAUGUAUUUUAUAAGUAAUGUUUACAGAAACUUGUUAUAUCUGGUGUAGUUUAUAUUUUGUAAAGUAGAAUACUAGAUAGCCCAUAGAAUAGUUUUACAAUCAAUAAACUGUAAGUGAAUAAACAGUUG
Molecule: long non-coding RNA, 223 nt
Organism: Limulus polyphemus (Atlantic horseshoe crab)
Lineage: Eukaryota; Metazoa; Arthropoda; Merostomata; Xiphosura; Limulidae
Exons: 2
Source: RefSeq, a predicted model, not a curated record